RNAcentral lists this ribosomal RNA (400 nucleotides) under uncultured bacterium. RNAcentral's name for it is "bacterial SSU rRNA". It matches the Rfam family "Bacterial small subunit ribosomal RNA", at positions 356 to 773 of the family's 1533-position model. The record is from RNAcentral.
GGGGAAUAUUGCACAAUGGGGGAAACCCUGAUGCAGCGACGCCGCGUGGAGGAAGAAGGUCUUCGGAUUGUAAACUCCUGUUGUUGAGGAAGAUAAUGACGGUACUCAACAAGGAAGUGACGGCUAACUACGUGCCAGCAGCCGCGGUAAAACGUAGGUCACAGGCGUUGCCCGGAAUUACUGGGUGUAAAGGGAGCGCAGGCGGGCGAUCAAGAUGGAAGUGAAAUCCAUGGGCUCAACCCAUGAACUGCUUUCAAAACUGAUUGUCUUGAGUAGUGCAGAGGUAGGCGGAAUUCCCGGUGUAGCGGUGGAAUGCGUAGAUAUCGGGAGGAACACCAGUGGCGAAGGCGGCCUACUGGGCACCAACUGACGCUGAGGCUCGAAAGUGUGGGUAGCAAAC